RNAcentral lists this ribosomal RNA (390 nucleotides) under uncultured bacterium. RNAcentral's name for it is "bacterial SSU rRNA". It matches the Rfam family "Bacterial small subunit ribosomal RNA", at positions 28 to 418 of the family's 1533-position model. The record is from RNAcentral.
GACGAACGCUGGCGGCGUGCUUAACACAUGCAAGUCGAGCGGUAAGGCCCUUUCGGGGGUACACGAGCGGCGAACGGGUGAGUAACACGUGGGUGACCUGCCCUCAGCUCUGGGAUAAGCCUGGGAAACCGGGUCUAAUACCGGAUAUGACUCCAUGACGCAUGUUGUGGGGUGGAAAGCCUUGUGCGGCUGAGGAUGGGCCCGCGGCCUAUCAGCUUGUUGGUGGGGUGAUGGCCUACCAAGGCGACGACGGGUAGCCGGCCUGAGAGGGCGACCGGCCACACUGGGACUGAGACACGGCCCACGACUCCUACGGGAGGCAGCAGUGGGGAAUCUUGCGCAAUGGGCGAAAGCCUGACGCAGCGACGCCGCGUGAGGGAUGACGGCCUC